GACGAACGCUGGCGGCGUGCUUAACACAUGCAAGUCGAACGGAAAGGCCCAGCUUGCUGGGUACUCGAGUGGCGAACGGGUGAGUAACACGUGGGUGAUCUGCCCUGCACUCUGGGAUAAGCCUGGGAAACUGGGUCUAAUACCGGAUAUGACCGACUGUCGCAUGGUGGUUGGUGGAAAGCUUUUGCGGUGUGGGAUGGGCCCGCGGCCUAUCAGCUUGUUGGUGGGGUAAUGGCCUACCAAGGCGACGACGGGUAGCCGACCUGAGAGGGUGAUCGGCCACACUGGGACUGAGACACGGCCCAGACUCCUACGGGAGGCAGCAGUGGGGAAUAUUGCACAAUGGGCGCAAGCCUGAUGCAGCGACGCCGCGUGAGGGAUGACGGCCUUCGGGUUGUAAACCCCUUUCACCAGGGACGAAGCGUGAGUGACGGUACCUGGAGAAGAAGCACCGGCCAACUACGUG
This 466-nucleotide ribosomal RNA is filed under the name uncultured bacterium. RNAcentral's name for it is "partial 16S ribosomal RNA". It matches the Rfam family "Bacterial small subunit ribosomal RNA", at positions 28 to 507 of the family's 1533-position model. The record is from RNAcentral.